UGCAUCGUACCUUGGAUCAUGUGAUGGGGGCCUGAAAACUGCCAGAAGCAGCUGAAGGACUGCUAACAUCAUCACUACACAGCCAAGAGAGUCUAUAAAAUAUUUAGCAACACAUUCAUGGAUUGGAGUCUCUCUAAUGUAGUGAGUUUCAAAACGUCAGGAGGAUGCUUCAGAGGCCAGGUUUGCAACCAAUUUAUUUUAUUUCAUACUGGAGUAUUUAAAGGGACUCUCAAAAUCAGAAUGCUCUCUCAGCAGCAGCUCUCAGUCACAGACACAAGAGAAGAUGCCAGAUUCCAGUCUCCAUCUUUGACCAGCCACAUGGCAGUUCUCCUGCCUCCUUCACUCCUUCACUAAGACCAAGGAUACAGGCUGAUCCCGAGGUCCUCCAGAGAGCUAGUCCAGACUUUACAUAUCCUUAAUUAGUUUAUUUUCUCCAGACUAAAAAUUUCUUAUUUUUUCAACUAAUUUCACUCAGCUAAACUCAAAAAGGGAACUCCUAGGGAAAAAAAUCCCUAACACUAAAAUAAAUGCACUGAUUGUUGUGCCACAAUUCCCUUUAUUGUCCUGACUCAGUU
Molecule: long non-coding RNA, 575 nt
Organism: Sarcophilus harrisii (Tasmanian devil)
Lineage: Eukaryota; Metazoa; Chordata; Mammalia; Dasyuromorphia; Dasyuridae
Exons: 3
Source: RefSeq, a predicted model, not a curated record